RNAcentral lists this ribosomal RNA (848 nucleotides) under Neonectria ditissima. RNAcentral describes it as "partial large subunit ribosomal RNA". It matches the Rfam family "Eukaryotic large subunit ribosomal RNA", at positions 37 to 917 of the family's 3401-position model. Lineage: Eukaryota; Fungi; Ascomycota; Sordariomycetes; Hypocreales; Nectriaceae. The record is from RNAcentral.
UACAUAUCAAUAAGCGGAGGAAAAGAAACCAACAGGGAUUGCCCUAGUAACGGCGAGUGAAGCGGCAACAGCUCAAAUUUGAAAUCUGGCCCCCGGGUCCGAGUUGUAAUUUGUAGAGGAUGCUUUUGGUGCGGUACCUUCCGAGUGCCCUGGAACGGGACGCCAUAGAGGGUGAGAGCCCCGUCUGGUUGGACGCCAAUCCUUUGUAAAGCUCCUUCAACGAGUCGAGUAGUUUGGGAAUGCUGCUCUAAAUGGGAGGUAUAUGUCUUCUAAAGCUAAAUAUUGGCCAGAGACCGAUAGCGCACAAGUAGAGUGAUCGAAAGAUGAAAAGCACUUUGAAAAGAGAGUUAAAAAGUACGUGAAAUUGUUGAAAGGGAAGCGCUCAUGACCAGACUUGGGCUUGGUUGAUCAUCCAGGGUUCUCCCUGGUGCACUCUUCCGGCCCAGGCCAGCAUCAGUUCGCUGUGGGGGAUAAAGGCUUCGGGAAUGUGGCUCCCUCGGGAGUGUUAUAGCCCGUCGUGUAAUACCCUGUGGCGGACUGAGGUUCGCGCAUUCGCAAGGAUGCUGGCGUAAUGGUCAUCAGCGACCCGUCUUGAAACACGGACCAAGGAGUCGUCUUCGUAUGCGAGUGUUCGGGUGUCAAACCCCUACGCGUAAUGAAAGUGAACGCAGGUGAGAGCUUCGGCGCAUCAUCGACCGAUCCUGAUGUUCUCGGAUGGAUUUGAGUAAGAGCAUACGGGGCCGGACCCGAAAGAAGGUGAACUAUGCCUGUAUAGGGUGAAGCCAGAGGAAACUCUGGUGGAGGCUCGCAGCGGUUCUGACGUGCAAAUCGAUCGUCAAAUAUGGGCA